Molecule: long non-coding RNA, 1069 nt
Organism: Anguilla anguilla (European eel)
Lineage: Eukaryota; Metazoa; Chordata; Actinopteri; Anguilliformes; Anguillidae
Exons: 2
Source: RefSeq, a predicted model, not a curated record
GACUGCAGACUGCAGGGGGGGGGGGGACAUCGGAGAUCCGUAUUUGAAAAGAAGCCCGUCCGAUUUUGCCAUUGUGCCUUUUCACUCAUCGAUCGAAUGAAUAUCGAACCUUCUGUCGGUGCAUGUGUGAAACAGAUAGCUUAGCCAGCAUUUUUUUUUCUGUUCAGACCUGUGCUGUGGGCCAAACGUCUUUCGCCUCAUCUCCUUAUUUUUUCCUCUUUAAUAGUCUUUUUUUAAAUAUUUGAUGACAUUAAACUAAUUUUAAUGAUUAUUUAAAAAAAAAAAAAUCUUUUAAAAAACUUUUGUUUGGGACUUAUUUAUUUAUCAUAUGCAAACUCUGAAGACUUUGAAGGGGCAACAUAUAUCAUAAUCUGGCCUGUGGAUAUUAUAUUUGCUUCCUGAUGUUUUUUUUUUCUUUUUUCUUGCUGUUCAUUUUUUUUUUCACUUUUUGUGUAUAAUGACACUAACAAAACAAAUCGUACUCUAGUUAAAAAUGACCAUCAAUGACCAGCCAUAAUUUAGGCUGAAUGACUAAAAACACAAAACCUUCAAAGAAUAAAAUUAAUAUAGUAAUUUUAUCAUAAAAAACUGAAAUAUGUACAAAAAACAAAUUCAUGUGAAAAAUGUUUCUUUCUCAAUUAACUUUUCUGUUUAUAUUUUCAAAUGAUUUCAAAGAGAGCAUGAUUUGUUUAAUCAAAAUAGGACAGUAUUGCAAAAUAUGACACAUGUUGAAAAAUACUGUACAGCUUUUUAUUUUUCCAAACUAUUCAAAUUCAAUGACUUUGCAUUUUCAAGGAAUUCUAAUUCUGAAGAGCAUAAUGAAAAGGCAGAGAGAUGGCCAUUCUCCAACUGACGCAUUGAAAGAAGCGAAGAAGUAAGACAAGACGAGAGAAAAAUCAAGAACAACUGAAAGGCAUAGGAAGGAAAGGAAUCACUGGAGUGAAAAGACAAUUCAUUGUUCCCGAGAUGAAGAAAAAAAAAACUAAGCGGACUGCCUGGACAAUGCACUAAAACUUGAGAAUUAUGGUUUCGUAGUCAGAAUCAGAAGUAAGGCACACAGGAGACAACG